UACAGAGGUCCCAAGCGUUGUUCGGAUUCACUGGGCGUAAAGGGUGCGUAGGCGGUCGGGUAAGUCUGACGUGAAAUCUUCAAGCUCAACUUGGAAACUGCGUCCGAUACUAUUCGGCUAGAGGAAUGGAGGGGAGACUGGAAUACUUGGUGUAGCAGUGAAAUGCGUAGAGAUCAUGAGGAAGACCAGUGGCGAAGGCGGGUCUCUGGACAGUUCCUGACACUGAGGCACGAAGGCCAGGGGAGCAAACGGG
Molecule: ribosomal RNA, 253 nt
Filed under: uncultured bacterium
Lineage: Bacteria
Description: partial 16S ribosomal RNA
Rfam family: Bacterial small subunit ribosomal RNA
Source: RNAcentral